Molecule: long non-coding RNA, 404 nt
Organism: Amphimedon queenslandica
Lineage: Eukaryota; Metazoa; Porifera; Demospongiae; Haplosclerida; Niphatidae
Exons: 4
Source: RefSeq, a predicted model, not a curated record
AAGAAUCUAAAAGUAUUGAAAGAUAAUGGAUUAUUGAAGCUAACCAUUGGAUACUGCACUGUUUACGACUACAAAGAUGAGAGUUUGUGUUACCCUGAAGAAGGAGAGGCCUCAGAUGAGUACAUCUCUGCAGUCUAUACUAGUAGAGGCAUGUUGGAGCAGUUGCUUAUAGCAACAAGCAUACAGUUAAUGUACAGGGAAGAACAAGACAAAAAAGCAAGCCUCUUCAUCAGUUUAUUAUAUUGCCGAUUUUAUUUUUCAAUAGGAGAUUGAGGCUCUUGAGAAAAAAAUCGAAUUGUUAAAUGAGCAGUUGUCCUCAUUUCAGGAUUUAUCAGAAAAGAAGGAAGAUUAUCCUCUAGAAGAAGAAGAGACCCCUCAAACUGGAAAAAGUCAAAUGCUUGAAG